GAUGAACGCUGGCGGCGUGCUUAAUACAUGCAAGUCGAACGGAAAGGCGCUGCUUUUGUGGGGUGCUCGAUUGGCGAACGGGUGAGUAACACGUGAGUAACCUGCCCUUGACUUUGGGAUAUCUUCAGGAAACUGGGGCUAAUACAGGAUAGGAUCUCCUGCUGCAUGUGGGGGGUUGGAAAGUUUCGGCGGUGGUGGAUGGACUCGAGGCUUAUCAGCUGGUUGGUGUGGUAGUGGCGUACCAAGGCUUUGAGGGGUAGCCGGCAUGGGAGGUUUGACAGCGACCUGGCUACUGAGGUACGGAGCAGUCUCCUACCGGCGGCAAUAGGCGAGAGUAUUGCGGAGCGGGGGGAAGCGAGAGAUGGAAGCGCCCCGUGCGGGAUGCUCGGCUACGGGUUAAGAACAACUUUGUAAUGUACCAAGCCCUGAGUGACGGUAAUGAAUCAAAAAGCACCGGCUAACUACGUG
Molecule: ribosomal RNA, 468 nt
Filed under: uncultured bacterium
Lineage: Bacteria
Description: partial 16S ribosomal RNA
Rfam family: Bacterial small subunit ribosomal RNA
Source: RNAcentral